UGUCUAGAGCAAUGUUGCUUUUUAAGUUGGAAUUUGCCUUCUGACAUUAGCAUUAGGUUUUGUUGAGGUUUUGUGCUUUCAUCUUAACAGACAUUUCCCCCACCCCCACUCCCCCAAAUAAUAUAUAAUCUUAUUUGAGAUUCAAUCAGACAUCAGCAAUAUCUUGUGGACUAAUAUGCAAUUUUAAAUGAGUUAAAUAUUCAUGGUGAUUGAUACAACCUUGGUAUUAAUAAUCUAUUGUGAAAGAACUGUAAGAAUAAAUAGAAGCUGAUAAGCUUUAUGCUGGUGUGCACAUGAUUGCUGACCUUAGUAUUUUUUUAUCCUAUCUUUUUAGGGCUGAGAAAAGUACAAUUGAAGAGCAUGGAGCAUUCUGACGUGUGUAACUCUUUGUAUCAAAGGAAGCCUUACAUGGCACAAUUUGGAUGAUGUCUGGACUUAAACCCAUUAUCAGAAAAAGAUAAUGAUGCUGUUGUGAGAGCCAAAUGAAGGGACAGCACAUAAUAUCAUACACAAGAAAAUCAGAGGAGAUCUUGAAUGAGCAAAGAGGAUGUACAUGAUGGAGUUAUUUACCAGGUACUAUAACAUCAAGAAAAGCAGAGCACCUCUUCUCAAAAGGGAAUUACAGAAAUUAAUUGAGGAUAUUGUGGCAUCAUUCCUUUAAAUUCCUUAUGCUCCAGAGUUCCCUGUUUCUCAGUGGCACCCCCUUGCUCUCAGAAGUUUUGCACCCACUUGUUCUCUUUCCACGUCACAACAUCCUGUCUGUCUGUCUGUCUGUCUCCUAGGCUCAGCAUCUCUAUCCGGCUGUGAACAAAGCUGUCACAGUGGUAAAUACUGUCAGAUAGAUUUCCUGUCUCCUUUUUUAAUAUGUGAAAGCAAAAGCAGAUGGCGUGCCUGCCUCCCUGAGACCAGAGAUCCCAAGCAGCAUGCAAAUGAUACAAGAAACUCGUAUACACUUCACUGCAAGAAGACUGCUAAGAAAUCCUGCCUGCUUCCACUGAAUCCCUUUAGCUGUUGACUUUCCCAAGGACAACUUUCCCCUAACGUGCAAGAGGCACACCAUAGGUGCAGUGUGCGUGAGACACUCUGGGCUGUCUUGACAAGUGUUGUCCGCUGGCAACGAGACAAAAACCAUACAAGCUGAAGUCUCUUAAUCAGAACUGAGUGUAUCUACACUUGCUGUCACAAGUAGGGAAACAAGGUGAUGCUUAACAGGAAUAAAUGAGGAAGGAGUGGGGGAAGGGGGAAAUCU
This 1249-nucleotide long non-coding RNA is filed under the name Junco hyemalis (dark-eyed junco). RNAcentral describes it as "lncRNA (ENSJHYG00000008994.1)". Lineage: Eukaryota; Metazoa; Chordata; Aves; Passeriformes; Passerellidae. The record is from RNAcentral.